GAGUGUUUGCCCGAGUGGUUAAGGGGUGGACUUAAGAUCCACUGGACUCGGUCCGCGUGGGUUCGAACUCCACAGCACUCA
Molecule: non-coding RNA, 81 nt
Organism: Perkinsus marinus ATCC 50983
Lineage: Eukaryota; Perkinsozoa; Perkinsida; Perkinsidae
Source: Rfam